UUUAAUAAGCUUUGAUUAAUGAUGCUGGCUUUAAUUUGAACUUCAUAUUAUUGUUUUCCAAAUGAUUUCCAUAAUAGAGAACAUGGUGGAUCUAAGCAUGAGAUUUUAAGUUCCUGCCUUUCAAAGGUGUGGCUAAAAAGGAAGAGGAUAGAAAACACUGUGUGCCCUCAUGCCAAGCUCUCCCUGUAGGGACAUUAUCCUCACCAUUGCAUUUCAUCUUCAAAACAGCCCUGCAAGUUGUUGCAACAACGCCACUGAGCUGACUCACCAUCCCAGGAGUCAGUGAAGGCUUCCCCGAGGAAGCAGUGUUUGAGCUGAGCCUUGAAACAGAAGUAAGAAGACUCCAGGAGAAGGCUGCAGUAGAGGCUAGAGCUGUUUUUCCUGGCAGCAGACCCAGAGAGAAGCUCAACACUUGGAGUAUGAAAGGAGAGUUGGAAAGAAAUCAACUGUGGAAUAACUGCUGGCAGUUUCAUUUCAAGACCAGUGUUCUAUAACUAGCUCUACGUUUCUAGAGCAGUCUACGUCUCUGAAAAAUUUGGAGUAAGACACAUUCUCCGUUUUAUUGUAUCUACAAUGGAACCUCUCCUCCCUCUCAUUUCUUCUCCAAAGAAUCGUCAUUUUGAAAGACGUCUUCAAAACCUGAAUCAUCCACUAACAAUGCUCAGGAGACCCUCUGAAGCAGUCAGUUGUACUUUCUGCACAAAGAGAUGAAAAUGUGCAGAUACUGGAAAGCCCUGGCUCCUCAUCUGCAGUGAAGAAGAUAUACUGUACACAGACACCCAUAUACCACUGGAAAUGGAUAGGAUGUGUCAUCCCUCAGCUCUGUAUGUUUUCUUUAGAAAUUCUUAUUGUUUCAUUAAUUCAACAAAUAUGUAUUCAUCAAUGACCAUAUGUAAGAGUGAGUCAGGAACUGUAGGAAACACAAGGGAAUCGGUUAUGGACCCCUUUCUUCAACAGCUUAGAGCAGGGGUCCCCAAUCCCUUGGCUGUGGACGGGUGCAGGUCUGUGGCCUGUUAGGAACUGGGGCUCACAGCAGGAGGUGAGUGGUGGGCAAGUGAGCAAAGCUUCAUCUGUAUUUACAGCUGCUCCCUACGGCUUGCAUUACCACCUGAGCUCUGCCUCCUGUCAGAUCAGCGGCAGCAUUAGAUUCUCAUAGAAUCAUGAACCCUAUUGUAAAGUGUGCAUACAGGGAUUCUAGAUUGCACGCUCCUUAUGAUAAUCGAGCACCCGACGAUCUGCCACCGUCUCCCAUUACCCCCAGAUGGGACCGUCUAGUUGCAGAAAAACAAGCUCAGGAGUCUCACUGAGUCUACAUUGUGAGCCAGGAUGCCCAUCUUCUCCUGCCCAUGGAGGUUAGACCCCAGAUUCUCCCGUCUUUGGACUCCAGCACUCACACCAGUGGACCCUUGGGCUCUUGGACCUUUGGCCUUGAACUGAGAUUUACACCAUUGUCUUCCUUGCUUCUAAAGCCUUCAGAUUUGGACUGAGCACGCUGCCGGCUUCCCUCGUUCUUCAGCUCACCGACAGUCUAUCAUGGGACUUCUCAGCCUCCAUAAUCAAGUGUGGAACGGCUUUGUAAGAGGAAGUGAAACCUGAGCCGGCGCGCUGAGCACCCUUGCUCUGUGGUUCCCUGUGCUGCUGGGGAUGCUGCAGAGGCCCCACCAACAAGUCCCCAUCUCACCAGACAUGUCCCUGUGACCUUGGACUUCUCAGCCUGCAUUACUGAAGAAAACACAGCACUAAGGAAGAGAAAAGAGACACUUCAUUCUCUGCCACGAACAACAUGUGAAUCAAGCCCUGAAACAGGUUUUCACAAAAAAGUAAUUUUUGGAGAGAAAUGCCUUUGAAUAAGUAAGUGUCCUGGAUUCAGACUUCCUGAGACAAAACGUCAUCACAGCUGUUUGGUCAACAUCAGUCAUCCACGUGCCUUUCGGGAGAAAUCACCACUGCAGGUUUCCAGCCUUGCUGGGUUCCCCUGUUCACGUGAACCUUGAUGCCCACUGUCUACCUGGCGCUGGUGAACAAGCACACGGGACACCUGGCCUCAUGGAGCUGGUAUUCCAGGUGCAAGAGCAACAAUCCACAAACACAUAAGCACUGUCAUGUAAUGUUAGGUGGUGCCAAGUGCCUGGUGAAAACAAUGAAACACAUCUUGGGGCAGUGGAUUAUGGUGGAGGACCAAGGAUGGGAGAGGGUGAAAUAUUUUAGAUAGAGUUGUUUACGAAAGGCUUCUCAGUUCCAGGUUAUAAGUUAAGUAUCUAUGUAGGCUGGCCCUUUCUACAAAGCAAAAAUCCUGCUAUUAAUUCUGCAAAUAAAUUAUUUAGUUUUCAAAAAAAAGAAAAUUUACUAGCCCUAGCUGAAAUUUAAGAAAGAAUUUAUAGUUCUCUCUUUUCCCCACCCUCGACCCUUUCUUUCCUUCUUUCCUCUCUCCUCGUCUUCCGCUUUCUCCUAUUCUAUCUUUCUUUUGUCUAUGUACCAGUGUCUUGUCUUGACUACCUUCUUAUAGCUGGGGGAAAGCAAAUGCACAAUGCCUCUAUUCCUUUGUAAAUGAUUCUUUGGGAAAUAUUUGUAGAGUCCUAAACUCUUUCAAUGAGAAAAGAGAAAGUAAGAAACCCAUCAGGCAGGCAGUUAGGGUGAGUCCCUGGUAAAAAUUCCAUCAAACAAAGAACAGCCUGAAAAUCAAACUGCAGGCCCCAGAUAAGAAAGAGCCUGCAUCCUUGAAUGGAGAUGCUUACUCGGUGAACCCAGAUGAACAAAUUCUACCCUUAUUUGGACACAUUUCUCUCUCCUUGGCAUGCCUUAGUCACUUAUUUUCACCUAUUGGUCUCUUACUUUUCACCUAUUUUACAUAUGCCUACCUUUCUGUAAUUGGCUGUGGGCUAAGUCUUCAUUUACAUAGGUUGAGUCAUCACUUCAGCCUCUGAUUGGUCCCAGGCCAAGGUCCCAAGCCAAGCCUUCACCUCUGCCUCCAAUUGGUUCUUUACACUAUGAUACCUCUUUCUAAGCGGUGCUUUCUCCAAAACAGCCUGCAGACCAGUCAGCACGCUCCUCCCCUUCCCAGUCCGUUCCUACCCUGGACUCAGCCUCAUAGUUGGCAGCCCUCUUUUGGGCCCUCUCUCCUUGGUGGAGACUUUUCUUCUUUUGCUUAUUAAACAUUCAUUCCAGCCUCACCCUUUGUGUCCAUGCUCCUUAAUUUUCUUGGUCACGAGGCAAAGAACCCUGGUAUACCUCAAACAACAAGAGACUGCUACAUUGCGGUGCAUUGGCAAGACUAUAACAUUAACACUACUCAGAAAACUUGCUACAACUAACUUCUGCUGUUUUGUUUUAUCUUUCUGGGUUCCUAGUAAUGUAAAUUUUAUAAUGGGUAUCUGGAGCUCAGGCCCAGACUUCUGUCAUGCCUAGAGGAAGAACAUGGACCCCUGCUGAAAACAAUGAAAAAACAACAAACUGCCAAUCCAAGUUCUGUACUAAUGUCACAUUAUUUUCCACAUGAAAGCUUUGCAUUUAAGUAAGGUACCAAUGGUAUACUGUAGCCAUUUGCCUUAGAAUACAAUUGUAGUCUUGUCUUGUGUGUGACAAGGUAUUUAGGACUAUAUGAGUGUUCUGGCAGAAAAAAACAGUUCAACUCCAGAGGUCUGAGUGAAGCAAAUGUUAAGAGGGGCUAUUGUGAAAGGUGUGGGUAAGGUGAAGGCAGAUGGUAAGGCCACAGAGACUGGCAAGAGCAGAAAACCAUUAUCAUCUGCAGAGCUGAAAGGCAGCGGAAUGGGGUUCCCAGAGCCCACUGAGAACUAGAGGCCUGGAGACAGUGGCCUAAGAAGAUGCUGCCUUGUCAGAGCUUAGCAGUGAAAGUAGAGGGCAGAGCAGAGGAAAAUACCCAUAUCUGUCUUUCCACCCACUCUCUAGUCUCAAUUCCAAUCAAAAGCCAAUGGUCCAGUAGCCUAGACAGUGUGUAGGAGUCAGCCGUCUCUGCGGUACAGAACAGGACAGAGAAAGGCAGAGAAGGGCAUCUGAGGAGAGCAAAUGCAAAUCCAGACCCCAGCAACCACAGGGAACACUCACUUGCUCAUUAAACACUUUGUCUCUGCACAUAUCCAUGAGCGCUUCUUCAACCAUUGAUCCUACUUUUCCUCUUUCUGUUGUAAUAGCCAAAUAUCGAGCAAUGUCACACUUGGUAAAUGGUCUCCCUGAUCAAAGUGCUAAGGUGACCUAAUUAAAUUGAUGGCUUUUAAUUUCAUGUAUUUCAGCAAUUGGCCUGUGAAGGCCUGAUCUGACCAUGUGUCCUGGACACGGUCUUUUCCCUCCCCAAGGGCCUCUUUUGUACUUUAAGAUAAAAGAUCAUUUCAAAGGAGUUUAAUUAUUUUCUCUCUAAGUAAACCCAAAAGAACUUCCUCUUCUAUUCCAUUUUUAGGGCCUGUCUAUAAUUUUCUUAUUCUCGCUAAUAGUUUCUUUCAUAAAGAAAUAUAGGUCUUGAAAGUCAUCAUAAUGUCAUUUUCCUGUAGUAGAGACUGUAAAGACGAAAGCACAGCUGUCUGGGGCCCCUCACAGUCUUACUCUUACUGAGGCUUUUCCAAUGACUGCAUUUUCUGGCUCUGGUUACAAUUAUUUCAUGAGUUACAUUACAAACCAUUGCAGUUCCUUUCUUAGCUGAAAUAGUUUCCUUGGCCUUUGCUGAGUUUCUUUUUUUCCCCCAUGAAGAAAGAACAGCUCUUGAGAACUUUGCCAAAUGCACACAUUCACACAAACCCACCCAUUAAAUCUGUGUUUCAAACACAUAAUGGUUCUGCUGAUGUUUGUUGUGAAAAAUGGUCAUUGUCUACGUCUUCACCCACUUUUGAAGAAACUGAUCUCUCUGCUGUUUCCUAGAAGAAUUAUUUCCUUUGUUGUGUUCUACGUGUGAACAGAGAGAAACAACCUUUAAACUGAUAUUGAUCCCCUGGCUUUACCAACUCAAAGCCUUACAAAGGGCAUGUCAGCUCGUCUUGGAGCUGAAUAGCAUUACUAAUUAAACUCGAGAUUUAUGCUUCUGUUCAUCAGAGAGUACUUCAUAAGCACCUCCACCUAACCCGCUCUGUAGCCUGAGACUAAGGAGGGCAUGCAUGAAAGAAACCUCAUGAAUAUUAAGUGAUGUUUUAUUGAGACCCUCGAGGCCUUGCCAAUGGCAUGGGAAGCAUGUCAUUCUUCAUUUGUAGCUCUUGAACAUUUAGGUGGUCAAUUCUGCAGAGAAAAUAUCUACCCACAGAAAAAUAUAUCUCAGCCCAUUCCAAAUUAAAUAUUGUCAGCCCCCUUUCUCUUCACCCCCAAGUCACCAGAAGUUAAGUUAGACUCAGGAAGGUAAGAAUUCAGUAUAGAUGUUUUCACUGAGUGCUAACAAGCUGUAGUAUCAGAAGCUAUAAAAAUGCCAUCAAGAUAUUAGGCAAAAUUGGAAGGAAGAAAGUUCACCCAAAGCACAGCUGCUGAAAUCAUUAUAUUAUUCAUGUACCAUUUUUACAAAUAGUCCAUUCCCAGGUCUGAUGUCUGAAAUAGGGAGCUUGCUUGUCUUCACCUGUGUAGUUUCAUAGGCCUGGAAUAUGGUACCAAGGUCAGGUUAACAGGUCUUCUGUAUCAGGGGUCCCCAACCCUCCGGGCUACAGACAAAUACUGGCCCCUGGCCUGCUAGGAACCGGGUCACCCAACAGGAGGUGAGCAGCAGGCAAGUGGGCAUCACCACCUGAUCUCCACCUUUUGUCAGAUCGGCGGGGGCAUCAGAUUCUCAGGAGCACAAACCCUAUCGUGAACUGCACAGGUGAGGGAUCUAGGUCGCGUGCUCCUUAUGAGAAUCUAAUGGCUGGUAUGAUCUGAGGUGAAACAGUUCCAUCCUGAAACCAUCCCUCCCCCUACUCCCCUUACACCCUCACUUUCCCCCACCCCCCCAACUAUCACCCCCUCCCCCUGAAGCAGUCUAUGGAAAAAUUGUUUCCAUGACACCAGUCCCUGGUGCCAAAAAGUUUGGUGACUGCUGUUCUGUAUAACCUGGUGGGUCAGUUCAUCUAUGUAGGUUGGCCACGGGGGCUGUUUAUUUUCCUGGAUAUAAUCAGAGAGGAAGACACUCACUAGCUCCUGACCCAGAGGAAGAAGAAAGGAGCAUUUCUACCUGGGAUUCUGUGACACAGGUUAACUUCCAAAAUGACACAGUUCCUCGUGAUGCAGAAUUUUCAAACUUUAAGAGGCUAAACUGGGAAGAGCACCUUCCUUGUAUCAGAUGAUAUGCGAGCGCGGCACAGUUUUCUGGGUGUCUGCAUGGUCGUCGCUUGGGUGAUAAAGCUGUGGUUAUUAAUAAUUAGAGCACAACUUAGAAAUUGUUGGCAUUAAACCUGGAAUUCAAAUCAAAUUUCUUCUCUGCUAAAAUCUCUUCCAUGCCUUCCCACUGAAAUUAGAAUUAAAACGUCAGCUUUCUUUGUGGCCUUUUCUGGUCCCUCCCUACUGACCAACCUUCUCUCUCUCCUCCUUCCCCUCGUUUUGCCAAAGACUCAAGCCAUGCACUGAUGUUGCUUCCGGUCCUCAUCCUAAACUGGCUCUUGUACAGAGGACCUUUGUACUUCCAGACCUGUCUGAACUCAAAAUGUACUAUUCUCAGAGAGGUCUUUCUCUUCAGACUGUACUUUCUAAAAUAAUGCCCCUGUUGCAGGUAUUCUUUUACUCAUCAUAUCACCCUAUUUAUUCCCUUCAUAGUAAUGAUGAAAAUCAGUAUUUAUUUUUACUUUUUAUUUAUCUGUUUCCUCCACUAAGAGCUCCAAUGAGUAGGAACUCUUCAGUCAUGACAUUAUCUCUAUCGGCUAACCGUAAAGAACAACAUGGAGCAGAACUCAAAAUAUAAUUGUUAAAUGAAGUAAAGAAACCUUAUUUGUGAAUAUUAAUUUCUAAUAUAAACCAUUUGCAAAUAUGAACAUGCUAGGUUCAUGGUCCACAUUUUUUAAACAACCUGGUACUCCUGACAUGCAAAGCUCCAAAGCAGUACCAACCUUUGCUAUAGAUAUUUUCACCAACCCUGUGUGGGGUAGGGAAGGCUGCCUAAAGUUCGGUUGUAGCUUUGAGGUUAUGAUUUAGUGAGGUUAACUGUAACCACUGAAAGAACUUGAGAGAAGUAUCCCUUAACUUCUUUUUAAAUUUUUCAUUUGAGCUACAAAUAUGGGUAUUGAAAGAAGUUCUGACAAAGCAUUUUUUAUCUAAGCUUUAUUGAAAAUAGUCUUUUUUUAAAUUUUUUAUUUUUGAAGAGACAGGGUCUCACACGGUCACCCAGGCUGGAGUGCAAUGGUGCAAUCAUAGAUCACUGGAAACUCGAACUCCUGGCCUCAAGGGAUCCUCCUGCCUCGGCCUCCCAAAGUGCUAGGAUUAUAGGAGUGAGCCACCACACCCAGCCCAAAGUCACGCUUUAACUUCCUCUUGGUGUUUGUUUUCUGCCAAUUGCAUGCCAUUUAUUCCUUUUGUAACAGUGUCUAUUAGAUAGUACAAGAUCUUAUCUAUUAAUUUCUAUGCUUUCCUUCCUUCCUCAUUUUGUAGUUGCUAGAGGCUUCCACAUUGAUCCAAGAAGAAUUAGGAUUGCUGUAUCUAAAACCAUAAGGGAAAUAAAUGGUUAAUUACAGGUUUGCUUCUUAUUUACUCGUAGGGUUCAUUUGAAUUAAAAGUAAAGACUUUGAGAGGAACUCAGUGUCCCACUUGCGGGUUUAUGCAACAACAAAGGCGAAGAAGAAAACCAUGUGUGUGUUGUGGGGGAGGGGUUGAGAGGGGGAAGUAGGGUAGGAGAUCUUGCCCACCCUACCUCUUGGAACACAGAAAGACUUAGGUGGGAGGUGCCCUUGAAGGGCCAGAUCUGGGUUACCAGGAGGGGAGAAAAGACUGCAGAGGUGACAGAGCAUGGCCAGUGGCCAAGAGCCACAUGGAAGCCAAGCCAAAGCUGCAGGUGGCCGUCUUUCUUUUAUCAUUACCCAAGCAAAGAGCCUUUGAGGCAGGUCUCACCUGUGCCAGGAGGGAGCCUUUCUUCCACAGCUGCCUGGGGUUCAGUCCUCAGCAGAAGAACACCUGUCUGCAACUUGAGACUCCGCUGAGCUCCCAUCUACCUGUCUUGCUCAAAAAACCACCCUGGCUUUUGAGUGGGACAAAAGGUGGAGUCCUUGGCCACCCAAGAGAGGCAGUAAUAAGUGGAACAGACACAAACCUGGGCGGGGCUGGACAGCAGAGAAAUUCACUGCAUGUGCCCAACCAUUUUUCUUUAGGAAUGGGAUGAUAUCCAGCAGUUUAGGUCAUGCUUUUUGUUACAGAUAAGCCCAACCUCUGUCACUUCUAAUUUAGAAUUACCUCUGAUGUGCUUCUUGGGAUUCUGGCCUUGAUAAAAAUGUAGAAAACCAUUUUCCUAACAUAGGACUUCAGAAGGCAAAUAAUCACAGCCUCGUUGGCCUGCAGUGAGGAGCAGGACCAGACCCACCCUCAAGAGUACCCACAUUUGAACUCUUGAGGGAAUAAAUACUUGAUGCUCUUUACAAAAAUCCUUACCCUUUCCAUCUUCCAUUCAUAUAACCUCUCUACCAAAUUAUGGACACCCGUGAAAUGCUGAGAAGCAGCAGCAAAAAUCUGUGCGCUGAGCAACAGCCUCUGGGAACUUCACUUCAUUUUAUUACACAUCACUCUCUCUCAGAAAGGAACUCAUCAGUUCUAAUAGCCCUCUUCUUGGGAAGCCGGCACAGGGAUUUCUCUUUUUUCCAGAGGCAGGAAGAGGAUUUUAGUAUUUCACCCUAACACUUGAGCGAGUUAUUAGGGGCAUUCAGUGCCUAACUGCUGGCUGGUGCUUUCUUAUUAUUUCUUCCAGAACCUUUGGCCUCUGAUCAGCGCUCUGAAAUAUAGACUGGUCCUGAAACUGCCUUUGCAAAAAUUAUAACUGAGACAAUUAUUACACAGUGACACAGAUCAGUGACACAGAUCUGACCUAACCGACUCCAUCUUGCUUCUAACCGCCAAGCUGUCCUUGUUCAUUCCUGGGCGUAGGCUGAACUAACUUUGGGAGUAGCUUAGUUUAUAGUUGAGCAUUGAAACAAAGACAAUCACAACCCUUUCUCAAAACCAACCCCCUUCCUGCCUGGGGACUAGACUGCCUUUGUAGGACUAACAGAUUAGCUACAAGAUUAGACGUUAUGGUUUAGGAGUCAUGCAGCUGGAGGCUGCAAGAUUCUAAACCUCCCCAGUUGCUCCUCAGGAUAACAUCACUAUUGUAAAACCUAAGAACGGUGCUUGAGAUAUUUUGCAGACCCUGUACUCGAUGGAUCAGCUGGCACCACCUAGAUCUAUAAACUAGCUCAUCUGGUCUUGUGGACUCCAACCAGGAACUGACUCAGAGCAAGAGGACAGCUUCGACUUCCUAUGAUUUCAUCUCUGACCUGACGAAUCAGCAAUCCCCACUUUCUGACCC
Molecule: long non-coding RNA, 9439 nt
Organism: Piliocolobus tephrosceles (Ugandan red Colobus)
Lineage: Eukaryota; Metazoa; Chordata; Mammalia; Primates; Cercopithecidae
Exons: 8
Source: RefSeq, a predicted model, not a curated record